CCUACGGGGGGCAGUAGUGGGGAAUAUUGCGCAAUGGGCGAAAGCCUGACGCAGCGACGCCGCGUGAGGGAUGAAGGUCUUCGGAUCGUAAACCUCUGUCAGCAGGGAAGAACGGUCACUGUGCUAAUCAGCAGUGAAUUGCCGGUACCUGCAAAGGAAGCACCGGCUAACUCCGUGCCAGCAGCCGCGGUAAUACGGAGGGUGAGAGCGUUAAUCGGAAUUACGGGGCGGAAGGCGGUCGUAGGCGUUAUGUCAAGUCAAGGGUGAAAUCCCCGCGCUCAACGUGGGAACUGCCUUUGAUACUGGCAAACUGGAGUGUGUGAGAGGAUAGUGGAAUUCCAGGUGUAGGAGUGAAAUCCGUAGAUAUCUGGAGGAACAUCAGUGGCGAAGGCGACUAUCUGGCACAUAACUGACGCUGAUGAGCGAAAGCGUGGGUAGCAAACAGGAUUAGAUACCCGGGUAGUC
Molecule: ribosomal RNA, 465 nt
Filed under: uncultured bacterium
Lineage: Bacteria
Description: partial 16S ribosomal RNA
Rfam family: Bacterial small subunit ribosomal RNA
Source: RNAcentral